UAACCAAUCAAGUCUAGCUUGGUAUUGGAGUUCGCAGUCCAGCGGCUCUCAAACGCAAUAGCAGUCUAAAUUAGACCCUAAGCGUAGUAAACUUUCUCGCUUUUGGGCUUAAUAGUGGCUUGCUUAGCCUAAUUUUUUAA
Molecule: unclassified non-coding RNA, 140 nt
Filed under: uncultured Leotiomycetes
Lineage: Eukaryota; Fungi; Ascomycota; Leotiomycetes
Description: sequence contains ITS2
Source: RNAcentral